UGCCAGCAGCCGCGGUAACACGGGGGGCGCAAGCGUUAUUCGGAAUUAUUGGGCGUAAAGGGCGCGUAGGCGGUCUUAUCGGUCAGAUGUGAAAUCCCGGUGCUCAACGCCGGAACUGCAUUUGAAACUGGCUAACUAGAGUCAUCAAGAGGAGAUCGGAAUUACCAGUGUAGAGGUGAAAUUCGUAGAUAUUGGUAGGAACACCAGUGGCGAAGGCGGAUCUCUGGGGAUGUACUGACGCUCAGGGUCGAAAGCAUGGGGAGCAAACAGGAUUAGAUA
RNAcentral lists this ribosomal RNA (279 nucleotides) under uncultured bacterium. RNAcentral describes it as "partial 16S ribosomal RNA". It matches the Rfam family "Bacterial small subunit ribosomal RNA", at positions 506 to 784 of the family's 1533-position model. The record is from RNAcentral.